CUCACUCCUCUCUCUUGCGAUUGUUCUCUCCUGUAGAGAGAGAUAGAAACUGACUUUAACGAAAAUGAGGCAUCAAAAAGCUACAAUCUUCGUUUGUCUGAUAUGCAUUGUUAUCGCCGGGGUCGGAGGUCAAUCUCCGGCUAAUCCUCCGACGGCCACUCCGGCUCCUCCUACACCUACUACUCCUUCUCCCCCUACUAGCACCCCUGCUCCUCCAACUACCACUCCUCCCCCGGCUUCAGCUCCUCCUCCAGUAACCCAAUCUCCACCUCCCGCUACUCCUCCUCCUGUUUCAACACCACCACCGGCUACUCCCCCUCCUGUCAGCUCUCCACCCCCUGCAUCUCCUCCACCCGCAACUCCACCUCCAGCCACUCCUCCACCAGC
RNAcentral lists this unclassified non-coding RNA (387 nucleotides) under Hevea brasiliensis (rubber tree). The record is from RNAcentral. Lineage: Eukaryota; Viridiplantae; Streptophyta; Magnoliopsida; Malpighiales; Euphorbiaceae.